Molecule: ribosomal RNA, 462 nt
Filed under: uncultured bacterium
Lineage: Bacteria
Description: bacterial SSU rRNA
Rfam family: Bacterial small subunit ribosomal RNA
Source: RNAcentral
GGGCCCGCACAAGCAGUGGAUUAUGUGGUUUAAUUCGAAGCAACGCGAAGAACCUUACCAGGUCUUGACAUCCAACCAACGAAGCAGAGAUGCAUCAGGUGCCCUUCGGGGAAAGUUGAGACAGGUGGUGCAUGGUUGUCGUCAGCUCGUGUCGUGAGAUGUUGGGUUAAGUCCCGCAACGAGCGCAACCCUUGCCAUUAGUUGCUACGCAAGAGCACUCUAAUGGGACCGCUACCGACAAGGUGGAGGAAGGUGGGGACGACGUCAAAUCAUCAUGCCCCUUAUGACCUGGGCUACACACGUAAUACAAUGGCCGCUAACAACGGGAAGCGAAGGCGCGAGCCGGAGCGAAUCCCCAAAAGCGGUCUCAGUUCGGAUCGCAGGCUGAAACCCGCCUGCGUGAAGUUGGAAUUGCUAGUAAUCGCGGAUCAGCAUGCCGCGGUGAAUACGUUCCCGGGCCUU